Molecule: long non-coding RNA, 2537 nt
Organism: Vigna angularis (adzuki bean)
Lineage: Eukaryota; Viridiplantae; Streptophyta; Magnoliopsida; Fabales; Fabaceae
Exons: 4
Source: RefSeq, a predicted model, not a curated record
UUACUUAAAACCCUAAUUCCUUACCCUUUGAUUGCGGCACACACACCCCACCCCCACAGACUUCUCUCUUCCUCGUUUCUUCUCUUCCCCAUUUCCGUUUUCUUCCUUCUCUUCCUCCAUUGGUUCCAUUUUCUUUCCUUCUAUUGUUCGUGCUGUGGAGGACUGUGUAGGAGUUUGGUGCUUGGUUGGUACUUCGUUCGCGGUUGAUUUUCUACUAUCCAGCCGGGGCAAACGAGGAAUGAGGAGAUGGAGGGAGAAGGCUAUAGUAGUGUAGGCAGAAGCUCUCCAUAUUCCAUGAAGGUAAAGACGGUGACGUAAUCAUGAACAGCAGAAAAUACAGAUGGUUAUUCUGAGAGAAAUUUGGGGCAACAGCGGUCUAAAUCCUCUAUCAGCUUUACCUUACCUCUCUGUACUGUCUCUGGGCUUUGCCAGGAUCUUUUAAUUCCGUUACCAACUUUCAUAAUGAAGACAAGGGCUAUAUGGUUUUACCUGGAGAUGUUUUUUGAUUUGCCUAUUCGGAAGGAAAUCGUGUCGUUAGGUGGAAGCUUGCAAAAUGACAACAGUUCAGGGGUGGUGUCACCAUGCAUGGCCCACGGUCUCGAAGUCAUCCUUUCAAAGUCAAUAAGGUUCGGCGUCUAGGGCUAAAGAUUCUCGUGCAAUAGAAGGAAGAGAGCUUCACCUUGCACCUCACCCAUCUCAGCCUACACCUCCAAAUUUUAUGAUUUUUCCAUCUGUGCCCUUGUCAAAAAGAAUCUUUGAUUGCAUUUUCUUUUUAAUUGACUCAUUCCAACAAAACCCUACACCACCCACCCCUCCUCUCUCAAAUUGUGUAACCAAACCUUACGCCACCCUUGUCUCCUCUCUUCUCGCAAUCUCAUAUCGCAUCUUGCCUCCUCCCCUCCUCCCUCAUUUGCCUUCUCAAUUUGCCGUUCAUCCUCACAAUUCUCCUCUCGUCAUUGUCCUUUGGCGACUGUCGUGGUGGUGGUGAGAGCCUUUCCUUGGAGAGUUUCUCCUUGCACCUCACCUAUCUCAAUUUGCACCUCUCCAUUGGCAUUUUUAUCCUUCAUUUAUUAAAGUUUGUACUGGUUUAAUGAUGUUGGUUUAAUUCCAACAACCAACAACCUUUAAACCAUGUUUCUAUAAACCCUGCAUGCACCUCCUUUCCAUUUUUUCAUUGUUUCUUCACUGUUGAGUGCUCAUUUCUUCACUAUUGAGGGCUAUCGAUCUUUGAAGUGCGGCAAUACAUAAUCAUUGUUCGAACACCGCUACACCCUUAACUGUAGUUCCAACUAUGAUUAAGGGUGUUUACGAUUAUAUCUACUAACCUUGAUGCCUUUCGAAUGCGUAAAUCUCUUUCACCACCUUUCUCCUUCAGGAACCACACCACACAACAUGACCACCACUGUAUCAUCACAUUCAAAAGACAAGCUCUCACAAAAUCAUCUCAGUGAAACAACUCAAGAGUGAAGAAAUGGACACUCAACAGUAAAGAAACAGUAAAGAAAUGGGAAGGGGCGCAUGCAAGGUUUAUAGAAACAAGGUUUAAAGGUUGUUGGUUGUUGGAAUUAAACCAACAUCAUUAAACCAUCAUUAUGGUUGUACAAACUUUAAUAAAUAAAGAGUAAAAAUGUCAAAUGGAAGGUGCAGAGAUGGGUGAGGUACACAGAGAAGCUCUCUAAGGAAAGGUCUUCAUCACCACCACGACAGUCACCAAAUGACAAUGACAAGAGGUGAAUUGUGAGAAUGAACCCCGAACUGAGAAUGUGAGAAGGCAAAUGAGGGAGGAGGGAAGGAGGCAGAAUGAGAUCCGAGACUGCAAGAAGAGAGGAGGCAGGAGUGGUGUAGGGUUUGGUUACGCAAAUGAAAGGCCCUCACCACCACCAUGACAACUACCGAAGGAGAAUGACAAGAGGUGAAUUGUGAGAAUGAAUCACGAACUGAGAGUGCAUGCGAGAAGGCAAAUGAGAGAGGAGGCAUGAUGCAAUAUGAGAGUGCAAGAAGAGAGGAGGCAGGGGUGGUGUAGGGUUUGGUUACACAAAUGAGAGAGGAGAUGAAAUGCGACAAAUGAGAGAGAGAGGAGCAAGGGAGGGUGGUGUAGAGUUUUGUUUGAAUGAGUCAAUUAAAAAGAAAAUGCAGUCAAAGAAUUUUUCUGACAAAAGCACAUAUGGAAAAAUCAUAAAAGGUGGAGGCAUAGAGGGAUGAGGUGUGAGGAGAAGCUCUCCAAAAGGAAUGGCAAGUUUCCUCCCCACUCAUGAUUGACCUUAUUCGUCAUAAAAGAUAUAAAUGUGGCAUCUCUACAUUAUUCUAUCUUCUACAUGAGUGUACGUUUCUUGGUUAUACUCAAUAUGGUGUGAUUUUUAAGUAUUGACUUCUGGAAGAUUUCGUUUUUAAAAUUUAAGUUUAUUUUUAAUUAUACUACUUGUAUAACUAUUUUUUUUUUCAAUGUACGUUUCAUUGAAAAUUAACUAUCACUAUACCUAAAAAUUUGGUUGUGGUGUUGUAUUUGCUGCAAUGAAAACCCUCCAACAAAAUCAAAA